Molecule: long non-coding RNA, 947 nt
Organism: Humulus lupulus (European hop)
Lineage: Eukaryota; Viridiplantae; Streptophyta; Magnoliopsida; Rosales; Cannabaceae
Exons: 2
Source: RefSeq, a predicted model, not a curated record
ACCAUUUAUUGUACAAAUAUUGACAAAAAGGUGAUUUUCUUGUAGUCUGUAGUUGAAAAUGACCCAGAGCAAUUAUCUAUGGAACUUCUUACACGUUUAUUCGGUUUGUCUUGUGUAGGUUGCACAAGCUGAUGUUAAACUCUUUUUUGAAUCAGUCUGUGGAGAGGUUUAUCGCCUAAGGCUGCUUGGGGACUAUCAUCAUUCUACUCGUAUUGCCUUUGUUGAGUUUGUAAUGGUAUCUAUCUGUUUCAAUAUUCCUACAUUCAAUAUUCUGUGUUUGUGUAUUAUAUGCUUUCUUUUCCACCAUUUUUAAUUGUUAUAUUUAAUGUAGAAAUUAGGGAAGGUCUAUUGUGACAAGUGAGGUUUUCAGAUGACCAUGUCAUUUUUAGAGAAUGUUUUAAUUCUUGAGAAGAAGGUUGACAAAUAGGAUGAUUUGUUACUUAUUUGAAAAUUUUAUUUUCCAUCCGAAGCCUGUGCAUUGUCAAAUGGAAACAUUAAUUAAUUUAUUCCUUUUAUUUUUUUUGGGUGAAAAAGAAACCGUACUACCCAUGAAGGUUAGGUUGUGUGGCAGCCCCAUAGUUUGCUCCCAUGACGUCUGACCGCUGACCAUAUAUGAAGGAAGAAAGUAGCUUGUAGUGACCACGCUGACCAUAGGCCCUCAUCUCUUGUAAUAGAUUAAUAAAUUACCAAGGCUUCUGUCUUUCUUUAGGAUCAUUUUUUCAUCCUUGGCAUACGAGAGGAAGCAAUAACUAUUGAUUUUUCAUCUCACUUGGAUGUGACCUUCCUACCACCUUUUUGGUUUUCACGGAGGCAUGAUCCUGCAUAUGUCACUCUAAUUGAUUGUUGUUUAGUCUUUUGCAAGUCUUAAGCUAGACUGAAGUCUGAUAGAUAACUUCCUUUUGAAUUUUUAUUUUUAUAUAUAUAAUAUUUAUAUAAAUUACCAAGCA